GGGAGGCAGCAGUGGGGAAUAUUGCACAAUGGGGGAAACCCUGAUGCAGCCAUGCCGCGUGUGUGAAGAAGGCCUUCGGGUUGUAAAGCACUUUCAGUAGGGAGGAAGGUAGUGUAGUUAACACCUGCACUAUUUGACGUUACCUACAGAAGAAGCACCGGCUAACUCCGUGCCAGCAGCCGCGGUAAUACGGAGGGUGCGAGCGUUAAUCGGAAUUACUGGGCGUAAAGCGCAUGCAGGCGGCCUGUUAAGUCAGAUGUGAAAGCCCGGGGCUCAACCUCGGAAUUGCAUUUGAAACUGGCAGACUAGAGUACUGUAGAGGGGGUAGAAUUUCAGGUGUAGCGGUGAAAUGCGUAGAGAUCUGAAGGAAUACCGGUGGCGAAGGCGGCCCCCUGGACAGAUACUGACACUCAGAUGCGAAAGCGUGGGGAGCAAACAGGAUUAGAUACCCUGGUAG
Molecule: ribosomal RNA, 457 nt
Filed under: uncultured bacterium
Lineage: Bacteria
Description: bacterial SSU rRNA
Rfam family: Bacterial small subunit ribosomal RNA
Source: RNAcentral